Caenorhabditis elegans is the source of this 21-nucleotide non-coding RNA. Lineage: Eukaryota; Metazoa; Nematoda; Chromadorea; Rhabditida; Rhabditidae. The record is from Ensembl.
UAAACAGUUUCCCGUGAUUCG